AAAUGAUGUCAUUCGAAACAAAGAGAGAGGAAGAUGGGAACACCCCGUGUAUGCAUGCAUCUAAUCAUGUUUGAUCCCAACACUCGUUCCAAGUCUUCCUUUUCCACAAUGUCCUUCACAUCCUUCAUUUCAUCAUUUCAUUUGUCACUUUCAUUUAUUCCCAACUCUUACUGCUUCCAAAUAACAACCAAAAAGCCCGGAUGACAUUAUGAGAAACUGAGGAAAAAUAAUGAGUGAUUUGUUUAAAAAAAAAAAGAACUUUGGAUUACAAAAAAAAAAAACCUGUAUGUGGAAUCAGGACACAACCAAAUUCAGGAGAUGAAAGCUUGAGGGUCAGAUGGACAGAUUGUGUGUUUGGGGAACAGAGGUUUGGGAGGAUUGUCAACAAAUGAAGAAAGGCGUCGUGAAAUGGAGGACAGUUUGGGGAAGGAAGAAAAAAGCAAAGAGAGGAGGAAGGGAGCUGAACGCUUCUCAGUUGCUGAGCUUCUGAACUGCCCCUUUUCUAAAGCUCCCCAAUUGCAAAACCUGUCCGGAGGCAACCCCCAGGGUCACCACAGGAUUAGAGAUGGUGAAAGAGAGAAAAUGAGAGAUGAAAGAAGUGCUUCGCUAAACCAACUGGAAGAAAACAUUGUAACACUCAUCUCUCCAUUGCUAACCCCCAACAUAGGUGCAAUAAACUGACAAUAUCACGUCCUGGGAGGAUGUGGAAUACAUUCUUUAUCUACAGGGAUCGCUGGCCUUGGAAAACGGGUAGGCUUCAGCAUACAAACUGUAGUAUGUCCUGGCUCAACCCUUCCUGAUGGAAAUGGAUGCAAUUUUAAAGUGAUGAGAACUAUUUUUGUGGGGCGUUCCAUGAUGAUAAAUGCACCUGAAAGUGGACAAAAACCCUCAAUACAGUCUCAGAUACACGCAAUGUGUGGAAAAACACCCAUCAUGCCCUUCAACGCUAUGCAAUUCAACCACACGUUGACAGUCAAGUUCAUGAAACGCUUCAAUCAAAUGGUUUAUCACCCAAACUUUUUCCGCUUCUUUACCUUUUGGAGAUCUUGCACGUGCUUUAAAUGAAAAUAGACAGUGGCGUCAUUGACCCGCCAUAUUCCUAUAUCGUACCGUUUCCCCAUUCAUCCAAUUGGAAAUCUUGUUCAGAGUGUCCUUCUCAGGGCUCACAGAAAGGCGACUUUGUCAACUAUGAAGAAAAGAGCGUUAGCCUCUCUCUUUUCUCUCUCUCUUAGUUUAGUUCUCUGCAUCUCAGCAUUUCUGUUCCACUGUAGAUGAACUGCAUGGCAUGAAUGAAAAAAAAAAAAAAAAAACAGAGAGAAAAAUGGUAGAGAUCAUGCUGAGAGGAACCAGAGGAAACCGUAGACAGGACCACUCUGUUUGCACAGUACAAUAUGGGUGACUCUGGAUCAGUGGAUGGGGUCACCUUUUUCACCUUCAUGUGGGGAACAGAAAAUACAACAUAAGUGCAUGAUACCUGAUGAAGGACAGAGGGGUUUUUAAGUGGACUGGGUGAACUUUAAACAAAAGCUGAAAAAAAGAGAAAAUUAAAAAUGCAUUUUUCUCACUUUGUUUACCAGCAUGACUAAACUGCAUGACUUCUGCAAGCCCUGAACCCCAAAUUAGAGGGCUUGAAAUCACUAAACACCGA
Long non-coding RNA from Sinocyclocheilus anshuiensis, 1648 nucleotides. The record is from Ensembl. NCBI's taxonomy places the organism in Eukaryota, Metazoa, Chordata, Actinopteri, Cypriniformes, Cyprinidae.